AUGGUUGAUAAAUCAUUAAUGUGGAUCAAUGAUUUGCAGAACUUGACCUACCAGCUAGACAGCGACCGAAAGAGGUUCAUCCUCAGAUCGUUGCUCUUCUUAAUCAAGUUUGGCAGGACAAACUCAUGGCGCCACAGGUACAACCAUUUGCUUGGAGACUUCUUAGGAGAGCGCUUCCUACAGGUAAGAGAGCAAGUAAAUUCUCUAAACACCUCCAGGUGUGGCAAUACAGAGGAUGAAAUGCACAUGUUUUUUCUUUGCCCUUUCUCUAAGGCAGCCUGGUUUUGCUCACCUUGGUUUAUUAAAACGGAAAUCCUUGCUGCUGUUAACCAUUUUAUUCCUAUCAUGAUCCAAACUUUGCUUAACUCUGGCCAUCCACAAAUUAAUCCUUCUAACUUGUAUACUUUUCUAUGGUGCCUGUGGAAAUCUCGAAAUGAUGCUCUCUUUGCUAGGAAAUUUUGCAGGCCCUCUCAGGUGUAUGCAGCGGCAAACGCAAUCAUACAAGGAACCAAAUUAGGAGAAAUCCCUGCUGAAGCUCAUGCUAUGCAUUGCUUACAGGACCAACUGGUGCAACCGACAAUACAAAAUCCACACUCUUUUUCAGGCAACACAAUCUUUUGUGAUGCUGCGUGGGAAAUACAUCCAGCUCACACUCCUAAACAGGCAGGAAUUGGAGUCUUCAUUCAGGUUUAG
Molecule: ribosomal RNA, 693 nt
Filed under: Triticum aestivum (bread wheat)
Lineage: Eukaryota; Viridiplantae; Streptophyta; Magnoliopsida; Poales; Poaceae
Description: partial small subunit ribosomal RNA
Source: RNAcentral